Molecule: ribosomal RNA, 292 nt
Filed under: uncultured bacterium
Lineage: Bacteria
Description: partial 16S ribosomal RNA
Source: RNAcentral
GGACUACCAGGGUAUCUAAUCCUGUUCGCUCCCCACGCUUUCGCGCCUCAGUGUCAGUAUCGGGCCAGGAAGUCGCCUUCGCCACUGGUGUUCCUUCCGAUAUCUACGCAUUUCACCGCUACACCGGAAAUUCCACUUCCCUCUCCCAAACUCUAGCUAUCCAGUACUAUAGGCAAUUCCUAGGUUAAGCCCAGGGAUUUCACCUCUAACUUAAAUAACCACCUACGCGCCCUUUACGCCCAGUAAUUCCGAUUAACGCUCGCACCCUCUGUAUUACCGCGGCGGCUGGCAC